RNAcentral lists this transfer RNA (73 nucleotides) under Rhodothermaceae bacterium. It matches the Rfam family "tRNA". Rfam says of the family: Transfer RNA (tRNA) molecules are approximately 80 nucleotides in length. Their secondary structure includes four short double-helical elements and three loops (D, anti-codon, and T loops). Further hydrogen bonds mediate the characteristic L-shaped molecular structure. tRNAs have two regions of fundamental functional importance: the anti-codon, which is responsible for specific mRNA codon recognition, and the 3' end, to which the tRNAs corresponding amino acid is attached (by aminoacyl-tRNA synthetases). tRNAs cope with the degeneracy of the genetic code in two manners: having more than one tRNA (with a specific anti-codon) for a particular amino acid; and 'wobble' base-pairing, i.e. permitting non-standard base-pairing at the 3rd anti-codon position. Lineage: Bacteria; Pseudomonadati; Rhodothermota; Rhodothermia; Rhodothermales; Rhodothermaceae. The record is from Rfam by way of RNAcentral. RNAcentral also lists the same sequence under 3 other names.
GGGACUGUAGCUCAGUUGGUAGAGCAAUGGACUGAAAAUCCAUGUGUCGCCGGUUCGAUUCCGGCCGGUCCCA